RNAcentral lists this ribosomal RNA (394 nucleotides) under Treponema sp. RNAcentral's name for it is "partial 23S ribosomal RNA". The stretch from base 118 to 381 matches the Rfam family "Bacterial large subunit ribosomal RNA", at positions 2655 to 2912 of the family's 2925-position model. Lineage: Bacteria; Pseudomonadati; Spirochaetota; Spirochaetia; Treponematales; Treponemataceae. The record is from RNAcentral.
AAAUAUUUACUAAAAAAAACUCAAUAUUUCGCCCUUUUUCUUGCAUCAUACAGGAAAAAACACUACCUUUGCAACUAAAUUUAUAAGAAUUAAGUUAGCAUUCAUCGUAAAACCACAUGGAUGUCUGAGGGGAGCUGCUUUUAGUACGAGAGGACCGAAGUGGACGAACCUCUGGUGUACCAGUUAUCCUGCCAAGGGUAAGUGCUGGGUAUCUAAGUUCGGAAGGGAUAACCGCUGAAAGCACCUAAGCGGGAAGCCCACCUCAAGAUGAGACAUCCCUGGGGAUUUAAUCCCCCUGAAGGAUCCGGAGACACUAUCCGGUUGAUAGGCUGCAGGUAUAAGCGCGGUGACGCGUUCAGCCGAGCAGUACUAAUAAUCCGUGAGGCUUGGCCAU